UUAUCAAUUAAUUGAUGAAUCAAUUAAUUGGUAAAUAGUCUCUGAGGAACUCUGAGAGAACUGUGUGCUGUUGUAGUAAAUCUUUCAAAUAAACUGCAUCUGCGAUUAUCAACACUUUGCAGAAACUCAGCUCUGAAAUCUUGUACUUGCUGUUUGAUAUUGUUCCUUAUGAGGAGCCGUAUGAUGACACAGGAGAGCAAGACAGACAGAGCUGCACGAGCGAGCGAGAGAGUGAAAGUGUUCAGCUUUCAACAGAAGCAGGAGACGAGGGCGGACUCUGUGUAAUCCAGUUACCUAACUGAGAUCAUCUUACUUGAGCAACUCCGGCUUUAUGGUCUGAUGUGACCCCUGUAAUAAAAAACCAGCCCGGCUUGCUGUUAUGUUAUGUAAGAGCCUGGAGGAGGAGGAGGAGGAGAGUGACUGACCUCAGUGAUGGAAACAGGAUGAAAGGAUUUGCAAGUUUCUGAGCUCGCUUA
Long non-coding RNA from Thunnus maccoyii (southern bluefin tuna), 476 nucleotides. RefSeq lists it as uncharacterized. The record is from RefSeq and is a predicted model, not a curated record. The transcript has 3 exons. NCBI's taxonomy places the organism in Eukaryota, Metazoa, Chordata, Actinopteri, Scombriformes, Scombridae.